ACAAAAAUGGCUUCAACCUUUCCCUUUUUUUUUUACCAAAGGAUAAGAGUCUGGAGCUUUCUAUUAGUAAAACUGUUAAUCUUUUGGCCAGCUUGAGGUUUCCCGAUUGCUGUCAAUGAUUUAGAUUACAAUUUAAAGUAAAAGCUUAUAUGACCUUUGACAUGAUCAAGUGAUCUUGAAACUGUUUCACAUUAUUUUCCUUUCAACAGUUAAUUCUUUGAACCUUUUCACAAUCAAAUUUCCCUCUUUACUCUUUUCCUUUUCCCUCCAUGUUUGUUUACUUUUUUUAUGCAUAAAAUUAUGUUGGUAACAAAAGGAGGCUUAACUGUGUGGCUUUUUUUUGCCAUAAAAAAAGGCUAAAAGAUUGAUCUCAAUUGUAAUACAAUUUAAGUUUAAGUUAGUUCAAUUGUUGGUCAAUGGGUUUUGUUAUUCAAGUGGAUUUUCAAGUGAUUUUUCUUUGUGUUUGUUUCCUAUUUGGCUCAAUACAUCUAUAUCAUAUAUCGGAAAUGGUCUCUGGUGUCAACUGAAAAAAGCUUCAACAAGUAAAUCCUUUUACUUGAUUUAAUAAAUUAACUAUAUAAUCAUGAAUACACUUGGAAUUGACCAACUAAGCUUCCACCAAUUUUCUGGACUAUUGGACAGUUUUGUUUUUUGAAAGACCUUGCAAGUUGACUAGUGUAAACUUUUAGAUAAUUUACCCAUUGGAUUUUCAUGCCCAUCAAAAUUUUUUCUUGAAUCUAACAAUUGUAAGUUUACACCAUGUAUUUUUCUGUAAAAAUUGACGAUAGAUUUGAAAUGAUCAUUUUCUUGGUUACAAUCACUUUUCAUAUUGUAAUUUAUGAGAUAUAAACACAAUGGGAACGGAUGGCAACGUCCACACUCUAUGAUUUGAGGCUCAACUCAACAAUUGCUAACAAUUCAAGUAUUUAAGCUUUACCAGUUCGAUCAAGUGUUUUUUGAUUUUAUUGAUAUUUACUGGAAUAAUCAUUAUGCCAGCAACUAUAACAGUUAUAUCAUUUUACUACACAUCAAGCAUUUGUUUAACACUUGAAGAAUCAAAAGUCUAGACGUGAAAUUUAAUAAUUUAAUGCUAUUUGAAAAAACAAAAUUUUUCAUUGGAAAUCAGAAGUACACUAAUUUAAUUUAAUUUGGUCUCAACUUUCCCUUAUAAGGAUUUAUUGUUGGAUAAUUGUCAAUUGAUCCAACAAGUUUGCAAAUCAGUUUGCAAAUGAUGGGCAAAAUCAAAAUGAUAAGUUAAAUUGUUUUCAGAUGUUGAUCAUUAUAAAACGUAUAGUUUCUACAUCAUUAAUUGGCAAAAUAGACGAUUUCUUGUGAAUCUAAUCGCAGCAUUCCUUGUAGACGGUGACAAAUUCAGCCAAUGAAUAUUUCUGAGAAUGAUUGGACGAUUGGUUAACGCUGUUGACAAUUAUUACAACUUUAAAGGGUCUACUAGUGAUGGAUGUUCAAGUCAUUUCCUUUACAAAUCAGAAAAGCCAUUUAACCCUGAUUAGUUGUUAAGACAAAGUUUCAUUUGUAUUUAUGUUGGAAGUAAACAAGGUUUCGUCUUCUCAUUCCAGUUUCAUCAAUCUGAAAAGUUAUCCUGUUCAUGGAAAGCAAGUUACUUUUUCAACCAAUCAACCAAUUCACGUCAAUUUGUAAAUUUAAAUGGUUUCAUAAAAUUGGUCGUAAAAAUGCUCUUCAUUGACAAGCAAAGGCUAAAGUAGAGCAAUUGAUGGAGGCAACAGUUUUUUUGGUACAAGAAACAGAAAUAAUCUUCGAAAGCAAAAGCAAAAAGACGUCUUGAACUGAUGUAAAUGGUGAUUGUAUUGGUGAUGUUGCACUAAAAAGGAUAGGGUUAAGCAAGAUAUUACGUUGUAAUUCAUUUUGUCCUUCAAUUAACUUCUUCUCAUCAUCAACUUUCAAAGAUUUAAGACCAACAUUUUGACAGAAUCAAACUGCAAAAAUGAAGAUUCCUUGAUGAACAUGAGAGUGAUGAUGGUUACUGCUGUUGGUUAUACUUGUCAACUCAGGUCUGGAAUAUAUCAAGUUAAUUGAACUUGCCUGAUAAUAUUUUAACGGCCAAUGCUGCAAAAAUCGAUACAAGAUGAUGAUAGUGUGAGAGUCUGAAUAGAUCAAGAAUCGAGAUUGCGUGGCCCAAACUAAAUAUAACUAUACGACAACAUCCAGGGUGCAUUGAAAGUAUAAUUUUCAUAUAAAUCUUGAUGCAGCAAGAUGAAAACUAUAGAUGAUCAAUGAUCUCUAUUUGCUGUAAAUUGAAGCGAUUAACUUUGUUUUACAUCUUUCUAUGGUCCAUGGUGAAAAGCUUACAAUUCGGCCUGUUUACAAUGUUCCAUCAAUGGACUAAUCAGUUAAAAAUUAACGACUAUACCUAACCAAUGGCUUGUUUAACUGACAAUAAUUGUGAAACAAUUCAUUUUGUGCAAUAAUUAGACGCACACAUAUACAGUACAAAAAAGCAAUUGAGGAAAUUUGCCGUAUUUUUGUGAUCGCGUUCAAUGUUGUAAACCCAAUGUGUGUGUCUGUGUGUGUGAGAGGGAAGAUGAGAGAGAGAGAGAGUUGUAAACAGACUGAUGAAGCUUGCAUCUUGAAGAAACCAAUUUUUAUGCCUCAAUAUCCAUUUGAGUAAUAGCAAUAAUGGUGUGAUGAUGAGCGAGGGAGGAUGAAGAUAAGGUUUUCAAGUAAAUGUGUCUGGUUGCAGAUGAAGUAUUACACUUUGUAAAAUUUGGAAAAACUUUGCUUCUUCUAUUGAAAUUGAUGCAUUUUCACUGGCUUUUACUGAUUGACUUUUCAAUGUUAGUUUCUCAAAAAGCCUGCUACUCUUACAAGAUGAUUGACCUCAAAGACUGAGGUUAAAAGAAAAGUGUUGGUCCUCAAAAUUACAUAUGAUUUUACAAGACAAAAUAGUGGCCAGUGUUUUUACGAGAUUUAACUUCCAUCUUUACUCAAAUCAUCCAUUCAACCUAAUCUUUCUCUUCAACUUCUAGGUCAAUCAAUCUUACAUUAUUGGACUCUAUCUUAACGCAUCUUUAACAUAUCUUGAAGACGCAAAUUAUGUCAAAUGUCACUCAUCUUAUUAUCCUUACAAGUUACCUUUAGUUGCCAAACGGAAGGAAGACUUCAUCCCCGGUCCAAUUGAAACUUGAAAAACGAUUUCAAUUUGUUAACAUCGUAUAAUCAAUCAAAAAAUGUUGUACAAUCACAAAUUACUAGUGUAUUGAAAAAGAUUUGCAAGUUAAUUUUUCGAGUGAAACAAGAUAAAUUGAGAAAAUAAAUUGUCUUAAGCAUCGACUAUCAGUUUCUCAUGGGAAAAUAAAACUAACUU
Molecule: non-coding RNA, 3343 nt
Organism: Tetranychus urticae (two-spotted spider mite)
Lineage: Eukaryota; Metazoa; Arthropoda; Arachnida; Trombidiformes; Tetranychidae
Source: RefSeq, a predicted model, not a curated record